CCUACGGGAGGCAGCAGUGGGGAAUAUUUCACAAUGGGGGAAACCCUGAUGCAGCGACGCCGCGUGAGUGAAGAAGUAUUUUGGUACGUAAAGCUCUAUCAGCAGGGAAGAAAAUGACGGUACCUGACUAAGAAGCCCCGGCUAACUACGUGCCAGCAGCCGCGGUAAUACGUAGGGGGCAAGCGUUAUCCGGAUUUACUGGGUGUAAAGGGAGCGUAGACGGCAGCGGAAGUCUGAAGUGAAAUCCCAUGGCUUAACCAUGGCACUGCUUUGGAAACUGUGAAGCUGGAGUGAAGGAGGGGUAAGCGGAAUUCCUAGUGUAGCAGUGAAAUGCGUAGAUAUUGGGAGGAACACCAGUGGCGAAGGCGGGUUACUGGACUGUAACUGACGUUGAGGCUCGAAAGCGAGGGGAGCAAACAGGAUUAGAUACCCGGGUAGUC
Molecule: ribosomal RNA, 440 nt
Filed under: uncultured bacterium
Lineage: Bacteria
Description: partial 16S ribosomal RNA
Rfam family: Bacterial small subunit ribosomal RNA
Source: RNAcentral